ACUCUAAGCGGUGGAUCACUCGGCUCAUGGGUCGAUGAAGAACGCAGCAAACUGUGCGUCAUCGUGUGAACUGCAGGACACAUGAACAUCGACAUUUUGAACGCAUAUCGCAGUCCAUGCUGUUAUGUACUUUAAUUAAUUUUAUAGUGCUGCUUGGACUACAUAUGGUUGAGGGUUGUAAGACUAUGCUAAUUAAGUUGCUUAUAAAUUUUUAUAAGCAUAUGGUAUAUUAUUGGAUAAAUAUAAUAAUUUUUAUUCAUAAUAUUAAAAAAUAAAUGAAAAACAUUAUCUCACAUUUGAAUGUGAAAAACGAAGAGAAAUAUUUUCUUUUUCAAUCAAAUAAUACUGAGAAAUGUCUAGCAUAAAAAAUUGAAAUAUUUUUCAUCUAGAAUUGUCUCUUAUUAAUGAUUCGGAAAUAGAAAAAUCUUGGUUAUGUUAUUAUUCUUCGUUGGUUCGUUAAAAAUGGAUAAAUAAAAACUUUGCAUACAAGAAUUAAUAAAAAUGUUAUAACGAAUUUAAUUAAAUGUUUUAUCAUUAUAUAUAAAGAAUUUAUGGCAAGAUAAAGUUAUAUACAACCUCAACUCAUAUGGGACUACCCCCUGAAUUUAAGCAUAUUAAUUAGGGGAGGAAAAGAAACUAACAAGGAUUUUCUUAGUAGCGGCGAGCGAAAAGAAAACAGUUCAGCACUAAGUCACUUUGUCUAUAUGGCAAAUGUGAGAUGCAGUGUAUGGAGCGUCAAUAUUCUAGUAUGAGAAAUUAACGAUUUAAGUCCUUCUUAAAUGAGGCCAUUUACCCAUAGAGGGUGCCAGGCCCGUAUAACGUUAAUGAUUACUAGAUGAUGUUUCCAAAGAGUCGUGUUGCUUGAUAGUGCAGCACUAAGUGGGUGGUAAACUCCAUCUAAAACUAAAUAUAACCAUGAGACCGAUAGUAAACAAGUACCGUGAGGGAAAGUUGAAAAGAACUCUGAAUAGAGAGUUAAACAGUACGUGAAACUGCUUAGAGGUUAAGCCCGAUGAACCUGAAUAUCCGUUAUGGAAAAUUCAUCAUUAAAAUUGUAAUAUUUAAAUAAUAUUAUGAGAAUAGUGUGCAUUUUUUCCAUAUAAGGACAUUGUAAUCUAUUAGCAUAUACCAAAUUUAUCAUAAAAUAUAACUUAUAGUUUAUUCCAAUUAAAUUGCUUGCAUUUUAACACAGAAUAAAUGUUAUUAAUUUGAUAAAGUGCUGAUAGAUUUAUAUGAUUACAGUGCGUUAAUUUUUCGGAAUUAUAUAAUGGCAUAAUUAUCAUUGAUUUUUGUGUUUAUUAUAUGCACUUGUAUGAUUAACAAUGCGAAAGAUUCAGGAUACCUUCGGGACCCGUCUUGAAACACGGACCAAGGAGUCUAACAUAUGUGCAAGUUAUUGGGAUAUAAACCUAAUAGCGUAAUUAACUUGACUAAUAAUGGGAUUAGUUUUUUAGCUAUUUAUAGCUAAUUAACACAAUCCCGGGGCGUUCUAUAUAGUUAUGUAUAAUGUAUAUUUAUAUUAUUUAUGCCUCUAACUGGAACGUACCUUGAGCAUAUAUGCUGUGACCCGAAAGAUGGUGAACUAUACUUGAUCAGGUUGAAGUCAGGGGAAACCCUGAUGGAAGACCGAAACAGUUCUGACGUGCAAAUCGAUUGUCAGAAUUGAGUAUAGGGGCGAAAGACCAAUCGAACCAUCUAGUAGCUGGUUCCUUCCGAAGUUUCCCUCAGGAUAGCUGGUGCAUUUUAAUAUUAUAUAAAAUAAUCUUAUCUGGUAAAGCGAAUGAUUAGAGGCCUUAGGGUCGAAACGAUCUUAACCUAUUCUCAAACUUUAAAUGGGUAAGAACCUUAACUUUCUUGAUAUGAAGUUCAAGGUUAUGAUAUAAUGUGCCCAGUGGGCCACUUUUGGUAAGCAGAACUGGCGCUGUGGGAUGAACCAAACGUAAUGUUACGGUGCCCAAAUUAACAACUCAUGCAGAUACCAUGAAAGGCGUUGGUUGCUUAAAACAGCAGGACGGUGAUCAUGGAAGUCGAAAUCCGCUAAGGAGUGUGUAACAACUCACCUGCCGAAGCAACUAGCCCUUAAAAUGGAUGGCGCUUAAGUUGUAUACCUAUACAUUACCGCUAAAGUAGAUGAUUUAUAUUACUUGUGAUAUAAAUUUUGAAACUUUAGUGAGUAGGAAGGUACAAUGGUAUGCGUAGAAGUGUUUGGCGUAAGCCUGCAUGGAGCUGCCAUUGGUACAGAUCUUGGUGGUAGUAGCAAAUAAUCGAAUGAGACCUUGGAGGACUGAAGUGGAGAAGGGUUUCGUGUGAACAGUGGUUGAUCACGAGUUAGUCGGUCCUAAGUUCAAGGCGAAAGCCGAAAAUUUUCAAGUAAAACAAAAAUGCCUAACUAUAUAAACAAAGCGAAUUAUAAUACACUUGAAUAAUUUUGAACGAAAGGGAAUACGGUUCCAAUUCCGUAACCUGUUGAGUAUCCGUUUGUUAUUAAAUAUGGGCCUCGUGCUCAUCCUGGCAACAGGAACGACCAUAAAGAAGCCGUCGAGAGAUAUCGGAAGAGUUUUCUUUUCUGUUUUAUAGCCGUACUACCAUGGAAGUCUUUCGCAGAGAGAUAUGGUAGAUGGGCUAGAAGAGCAUGACAUAUACUGUUGUGUCGAUAUUUUCUCCUCGGACCUUGAAAAUUUAUGGUGGGGACACGCAAACUUCUCAACAGGCCGU
This 2715-nucleotide ribosomal RNA is filed under the name Drosophila melanogaster (fruit fly). RNAcentral's name for it is "eukaryotic LSU rRNA". The stretch from base 573 to 2715 matches the Rfam family "Eukaryotic large subunit ribosomal RNA", at positions 1 to 1845 of the family's 3401-position model. The record is from RNAcentral. Lineage: Eukaryota; Metazoa; Arthropoda; Insecta; Diptera; Drosophilidae.